GGGGUACGAGAGGGCCGCUACCACGCAAGUGGAUGCCAAUCCCCAAAACCUCUCUCAGUUCGGAUUGAAGUCUGCAACCCGACUUCAUGAAGCUGGAUUCGCUAGUAAUCGCGCAUCAGCCACGGCGCGGUGAAUACGUUCCCGGGCCUUGUACACACCGCCCGUCAAGCCAUGGGAGCCGGGGGUACCUGAAGUGCGUAACCGCAAGGAGCGCCCUAGGGUAAAACUGGUGACUGGGGCUAAGUCGUAACAAGGUACC
This 259-nucleotide ribosomal RNA is filed under the name uncultured bacterium. Its description in RNAcentral is "partial 16S ribosomal RNA". It matches the Rfam family "Bacterial small subunit ribosomal RNA", at positions 1234 to 1500 of the family's 1533-position model. The record is from RNAcentral.